This 484-nucleotide ribosomal RNA is filed under the name uncultured bacterium. RNAcentral's name for it is "partial 16S ribosomal RNA". It matches the Rfam family "Bacterial small subunit ribosomal RNA", at positions 30 to 507 of the family's 1533-position model. The record is from RNAcentral.
AUUGAACGCUGGCGGCAGGCCUAACACAUGCAAGUCGAGCGGAAGAAGGGAGCUUGCUCCUGGAUUCAGCGGCGGACGGGUGAGUAAUGCCUAGGAAUCUGCCUGGUAGUGGGGGAUAACGUACGGAAACGGGAGCUAAUACCGCAUACGUUCUGAGGGAGAAAGUGGGGGAUCUUCGGACCUCACGCUAUCAGAUGAGCCUAGGUCGUAUUAGCUAGAUGGGGGGGUAAAGGCCUACCAAGGCGACGAUCCGUAACUGGUCUGAGAGGAUGAUCAGUCACACUGGCGCUGAGACCCGGUCCAGACUCCUACGGGAGUCAGCAGUGGGGAAUAUUGGACACAGGGCGAAAACCUGAUCCAACCCUGCCGCGUGUGUGAAGAAGGUCUUCGGAUUGUAAAGCACUUUAAGUUGGGAGGAAGGGCAGUAAGUUACUACCUUGCUGUUUUGACGUUGCCAAAAGAAUAAGCCCCGGCUAACUUCCUU